This 497-nucleotide ribosomal RNA is filed under the name uncultured bacterium. RNAcentral describes it as "partial 16S ribosomal RNA". It matches the Rfam family "Bacterial small subunit ribosomal RNA", at positions 28 to 507 of the family's 1533-position model. The record is from RNAcentral.
GAUGAACGCUGGCGGCGUGCCUAAUACAUGCAAGUCGCGCGAACGGACGAGAAGCUUGCUUUUCUGAUGUUAGCGGCGGACGGGUGAGUAACACGUGGAUAACCUACCUAUAAGACUGGGAUAACUUCGGGAAACCGGAGCUAAUACCGGAUAAUAUUUUGAACCGCAUGGUUCAAAAGUGAAAGACGGUCUUGCUGUCACUUAUAGAUGGAUCCGCGCUGCAUUAGCUAGUUGGUAAGGUAACGGCUUACCAAGGCAACGAUGCAUAGCCGACCUGAGAGGGUGAUCGGCCACACUGGAACUGAGACACGGUCCAGACUCCUACGGGAGGCAGCAGUAGGGAAUCUUCCGCAAUGGGCGAAAGCCUGACGGAGCAACGCCGCGUGAGUGAUGAAGGUCUUCGGAUCGUAAAACUCUGUUAUUAGGGAAGAACAUAUGUGUAAGUAACUGUGCACAUCUUGACGGUACCUAAUCAGAAAGCCACGGCUAACUACGUG